AGUGAACGCUGGCGGUAGGCCUAACACAUGCAAGUCGAACGGCAGCACAGUAAGAGCUUGCUCUUACGGGUGGCGAGUGGCGGACGGGUGAGGAAUACAUCGGAAUCUACUUUUUCGUGGGGGAUAACGUAGGGAAACUUACGCUAAUACCGCAUACGACCUACGGGUGAAAGCAGGGGAUCUUCGGACCUUGCGCGAUUGAAUGAGCCGAUGUCGGAUUAGCUAGUUGGCGGGGUAAAGGCCCACCAAGGCGACGAUCCGUAGCUGGUCUGAGAGGAUGAUCAGCCACACUGGAACUGAGACACGGUCCAGACUCCUACGGGAGGCAGCAGUGGGGAAUAUUGGACAAUGGCCGCGAGCCUGAUCCAGCCAUACCGCGUGGGUGAAGAAGGCCUUCGGGUUGUAAAGCCCUUUUGUUGGGAAAGAAAAGCAGCAGGUUAAUACCCCGCUGUUCUGACGGUACCCAAAGAAUAAGCACCGGCUAACUUCGUG
Molecule: ribosomal RNA, 492 nt
Filed under: uncultured bacterium
Lineage: Bacteria
Description: partial 16S ribosomal RNA
Rfam family: Bacterial small subunit ribosomal RNA
Source: RNAcentral